ACCCUCCUCAACUCACAAGGUUGACCUCGGAUCAGGUAGGAAUACCCGCUGAACUUAA
Molecule: ribosomal RNA, 58 nt
Filed under: Ceratocystis albifundus
Lineage: Eukaryota; Fungi; Ascomycota; Sordariomycetes; Microascales; Ceratocystidaceae
Description: partial 28S ribosomal RNA
Source: RNAcentral